Long non-coding RNA from Brachypodium distachyon (stiff brome), 1381 nucleotides. RefSeq lists it as uncharacterized. The transcript is spliced from 2 exons. NCBI's taxonomy places the organism in Eukaryota, Viridiplantae, Streptophyta, Magnoliopsida, Poales, Poaceae. The record is from RefSeq and is a predicted model, not a curated record.
UUCAUGUCUGGGCAUUUAUUGUAUAUAUCUGCUCGUAUCAACCUCUGAUUUUCUUUCGUUGUGCUUGCUCCUUAAUCUCGGGCAGACUAUCUCCAUUCUUCUGUAGUGUUCUGUUAAAUCUUUAGGCUCGAGUUUUUUUCUUGCCCCAAUCCAGGCUCCUGUGAUUGAGACUGGUCGAGCUAGUGAUGUCCUUUUCCGUCGGAUUUUUUUGUUUGUCGUCUGGCGUAUUUUGACUCGCCCUGCAUCAGAUUAUGCCCACUUUUUUUUUUUGACCAAAUCAGAUUAUGCCGACUUAUUGGUAGACUACUAUGGGGUACUACUGCUAUUAAAUCAGACAGUAACUUUUUGGGUUUGGAUUUGACUAGUCGCCCCAAUUCUCUGCUUCCCCACUCGGCCUCCCUGGGAUUCCCCUUCUCUCGGCUUUCACGUGCACCACUAGUUUUUAUACGAGUUUUGCACGUUCCAGAACAUCUGGUCCCGUUCUGAUAUUCUGUUAACUGGCUUGGAAUAAGAUUUACUUGUAGCAAGGACAAGGAAUAUUACCAGUUGCUAAUAUAAGUAUAGCUUCAAAGUUCAAACGGUCACCCCCGCCAAUCUUUCUUUGUAGUAUAAGUAUGCAAUAAGUAGCUAGUCUAAGUAUGGAACCCAACCCAGCAGCACCCUUUGAAUAGGAGAUUGGGUGCCUAGCUAGCUUAUGAAUCUGUGGUGGGUCUGUGCAUAAGUUCAAAGUUUAAUCAGAAAGAGGCGUGUCUCCUGAGCUGUCGAAUCGUUUUGUUAAGCUGGGCGCCCACGUUGUCAAUGCUCAGGGGGGUCGGUCGCUGUUCAUCAUUAGUGUUUAACCCAGUGCUAAUGACCAGGCGAUUAUCGUCACGGGUCACCUGCUGCUGGCUGCUGGCGUGCUGCUCGUGGUCAGUACUUAGCGUGCACAGCACCGUCUCGCAGUCUACCGUUUGACUGCUUGAUGAAAGGACGCUAGCUCCGGGACCACCUGGCAGUUAAUGAAGUCACGGCCUUACUGUACCCGCGGUUGCUCAGCGCAGCAGCUGAGCUACUCGCAUCCUUGUCUGCGCGAGCGCAGCAGCGGCGCAGGCGGCAUCGCUCGUCGCUGUGGAGAAAGCCAGGGAUGACGCACGUAAAGCACUGCUCGUGGGGCUGUUCCCAACGUCUUUCCCCAUGCCGAGUUGCCUUGCCGUUGUUGUGCUUUACAGCUAGCCUGUGUGUCCUCUCCUCUCUCGAAUCUCCAUGCUCAAUUUUCAAUAGGAAAACUCUGUACCCAGCGUUUUGUUUUGUUUUUGUACUUAUAGGUUAACUAUUCGUUUGUUUAUGGUGACAAAUCUGUAAAGGGGUGCAUCACCUAAUAUACCCCGGUGUUACUUUUGCA